GGGAAGCCUUCCUCAAGAUGAGAUAUCCUUUAAGGGUCCUGGAAGAAUACCAGGUUGAUAGGUUAGAAGUGUAAGUAUAGUAAUAUAUUAAGCUGACUAAUACUAAUUACCCGUAUCUUUGG
RNAcentral lists this ribosomal RNA (122 nucleotides) under Borreliella japonica. Its description in RNAcentral is "23S rRNA. Bacterial LSU". It matches the Rfam family "Bacterial large subunit ribosomal RNA", at positions 2787 to 2925 of the family's 2925-position model. The record is from RNAcentral. Lineage: Bacteria; Pseudomonadati; Spirochaetota; Spirochaetia; Spirochaetales; Borreliaceae.